Molecule: ribosomal RNA, 119 nt
Filed under: Pteropus alecto (black flying fox)
Lineage: Eukaryota; Metazoa; Chordata; Mammalia; Chiroptera; Pteropodidae
Source: RNAcentral
UUCUAAGGCCAUGCCACCCUGAACAUGCUCGAUCUCGUCUGAUCUCGGAAGCUAAGCAGGGUCGGCCCUGGUUAGUACUUGGAUGGGAGACCACCUAGGAAGACCUGGUGCUGUAGGCA